AACAUGUAUUUUUGGAUUUUCUCGAAAUCCGUGCGUUGAACUCAAAAUUCGUCAGCGCCAGUAGUUCCAGAACAGCUGAACCAGUCGAAACGAGCUAUUGGACUGCUAUGAACAGAGUCCGGUACGAGCCAGAAGCCAACUUCUCACCGCGGCUUCUCCGGAAAAUCGAGUUACUAUUCACUUUAAGUGAAACUUGGAAAUCGCGUAGAACUUCCGUUUUAACUCGUUUUCGCCCGAAACUUGACGAGUGCUUUUGUAAUUAAAUUACACACAAAAACAUCGUCAACUGAGAGUUUAGCUACACU
RNAcentral lists this long non-coding RNA (305 nucleotides) under Ananas comosus (pineapple). Its description in RNAcentral is "long non-coding RNA (ACOM_LNC018893)". Lineage: Eukaryota; Viridiplantae; Streptophyta; Magnoliopsida; Poales; Bromeliaceae. The record is from RNAcentral.